AACACGUGGGCAACCUGCCUGUAAGACUGGGAUAACUUCGGGAAACCGAAGCUAAUACCGGAUAGGAUCUUCUCCUUCAUGGGAGAUGAUUGAAAGAUGGUUUCGGCUAUCACUUACAGAUGGGCCCGCGGCGCAUUAGCUAGUUGGUGAGGUAACGGCUCACCAAGGCAACGAUGCAUAGCCGACCUGAGAGGGUGAUCGGCCACACUGGGACUGAGACACGGCCCAGACUCCUACGGGAGGCAGCAGUAGGGAAUCUUCCGCAAUGGACGAAAGUCUGACGGAGCAACGCCGCGUGAGUGAUGAAGGCUU
RNAcentral lists this ribosomal RNA (312 nucleotides) under Bacillus zanthoxyli. RNAcentral describes it as "bacterial SSU rRNA". It matches the Rfam family "Bacterial small subunit ribosomal RNA", at positions 112 to 417 of the family's 1533-position model. The record is from RNAcentral. Lineage: Bacteria; Bacillati; Bacillota; Bacilli; Caryophanales; Bacillaceae.